RNAcentral lists this ribosomal RNA (454 nucleotides) under uncultured bacterium. Its description in RNAcentral is "partial 16S ribosomal RNA". It matches the Rfam family "Bacterial small subunit ribosomal RNA", at positions 28 to 507 of the family's 1533-position model. The record is from RNAcentral.
GAUGAACGCUGACAGAAUGCUUAACACAUGCAAGUCAACUUGAACUUCGGUUUGGGUGGCGGACGGGUGAGUAACGCGUAAAGAACUUGCCUCACAGCUAGGGACAACAUUUGGAAACGAAUGCUAAUACCUGAUAUUAUUAUUAUAUGGCAUCGUAUAAUUAUGAAAGCUAUAUGCGCUGUGAGAGAGCUUUGCGUCCCAUUAGCUAGUUGGAGAGGUAACAGCUCACCAAGGCGAUGAUGGGUAGCCGGCCUGAGAGGGUGAUCGGCCACAAGGGGACUGAGACACGGCCCUUACUCCUACGGGAGGCAGCAGUGGGGAAUAUUGGACAAUGGACCGAGAGUCUGAUCCAGCAAUUCUGUGUGCACGAUGAAGUUUUUCGGAAUGUAAAGUGCUUUCAGUUGGGAAGAAAAAAAUGACGGUACCAACAGAAGAAGUGACGGCUAAAUACGUG